This 484-nucleotide ribosomal RNA is filed under the name uncultured bacterium. RNAcentral's name for it is "partial 16S ribosomal RNA". It matches the Rfam family "Bacterial small subunit ribosomal RNA", at positions 30 to 507 of the family's 1533-position model. The record is from RNAcentral.
AUUGAACGCUGGCGGCAGGCCUAACACAUGCAAGUCGAGCGGAUGAAGGGAGCUUGCUCCUGGAUUCAGCGGCGGACGGGUGAGUAAUGCCUAGGAAUCUGCCUGGUAGUGGGGGAUAACGUCCGGAAACGGGCGCUAAUACUGCAUACGUCCUGAGGGAGAAAGUGGGGGAUCUUCGGACCUCACGCUAUCAGAUGAGCCUAGGUCGGAUUAGCUAGUUGGUGGGGUAAAGGCCUACCAAGGCGACGAUCCGUAACUGGUCUGAGAGGAUGAUCAGUCACACUGGAACUGAGACACGGUCCAGACUCCUACGGGAGGCAGCAGUGGGGAAUAUUGGACAAAGGGCGAAAGCCUGAUCCAGCCAUGCCGCGUGUGUGAAGAAGGUCUUCGGAUUGUAAAGCACUUUAAGUUGGGAGGAAGGGCAGUAAGUUAAUACUUUGCUGUUUUGACGUUACCAACAGAAUAAGCACCGGCUAACUUCGUG